GACGAACGCUGGCGGCGUGCUUAACACAUGCAAGUCGAGCGGUAAGGCCCUUUCGGGGGUACACGAGCGGCGAACGGGUGAGUAACACGUGGGUGACCUGCCCUCAACUCUGGGAUAAGCCCUGGGAAACCGGGUCUAAUACUGGAUAUGACUCCAUGACGCAUGUUGUGGGGUGGAAAGCCUUGUGCGGCUGAGGAUGGGCCCGCGGCCUAUCAGCUUGUUGGUGGGGUGAUGGCCUACCAAGGCGACGACGGGUAGCCGGCCUGAGAGGGCGACCGGCCACACUGGGACUGAGACACGGCCCAGACUCCUACGGGAGGCAGCAGUGGGGAAUCUUGCGCAAUGGGCGAAAGCCCUGACGCAGCGACGCCGCGUGAGGGAUGACGGCCUCGGUU
This 395-nucleotide ribosomal RNA is filed under the name uncultured bacterium. RNAcentral describes it as "bacterial SSU rRNA". It matches the Rfam family "Bacterial small subunit ribosomal RNA", at positions 28 to 424 of the family's 1533-position model. The record is from RNAcentral.